UACAGAGGGUGCAAGCGUUGUUCGGAAUUAUUGGGCGUAAAGGGCGCGUAGGCGGUGCGGUAAGUCUGUAGUGAAAUCUCUGGGCUCAACUCAGAGUCUGCUAUAGAAACUGCCGUGCUAGAGUGUGGGAGAGGUGAGUGGAAUUCCCAGUGUAGAGGUGAAAUUCGUAGAUAUUGGGAAGAACACCGGUGGCGAAGGCGGCUCUCUGGACCGAUACUGACGCUGAGGCGCGAAAGCGUGGGGAGCAAACAGG
This 253-nucleotide ribosomal RNA is filed under the name uncultured bacterium. RNAcentral describes it as "partial 16S ribosomal RNA". It matches the Rfam family "Bacterial small subunit ribosomal RNA", at positions 524 to 776 of the family's 1533-position model. The record is from RNAcentral.